GACGGACGCUGGCGGCGUGCUUAACACAUGCAAGUCGAACGGAAAGGCCCUGCUUUUGUGGGGUGCUCGAGUGGCGAACGGGUGAGUAACACGUGAGUAACCUGCCCUUGACUUUGGGAUAACUUCAGGAAACUGGGGCUAAUACCGGAUAGGAGCUCCUGCUGCAUGGUGGGGGUUGGAAAGUUUCGGCGGUUGGGGAUGGACUCGCGGCUUAUCAGCUUGUUGGUGGGGUAGUGGCUUACCAAGGCUUUGACGGGUAGCCGGCCUGAGAGGGUGACCGGCCACAUUGGGACUGAGAUACGGCCCAGACUCCUACGGGAGGCAGCAGUGGGGAAUAUUGCACAAUGGGCGGAAGCCUGAUGCAGCAACGCCGCGUGCGGGAUGACGGCCUUCGGGUUGUAAACCGCUUUCGCCUGUGACGAAGCGUGAGUUACGGUAAUGGGUAAAGAAGCACCGGCUAACUACGUG
This 468-nucleotide ribosomal RNA is filed under the name uncultured bacterium. RNAcentral's name for it is "partial 16S ribosomal RNA". It matches the Rfam family "Bacterial small subunit ribosomal RNA", at positions 28 to 507 of the family's 1533-position model. The record is from RNAcentral.